RNAcentral lists this long non-coding RNA (209 nucleotides) under Vigna radiata. RNAcentral's name for it is "long non-coding RNA (VRAD_LNC013849)". Lineage: Eukaryota; Viridiplantae; Streptophyta; Magnoliopsida; Fabales; Fabaceae. The record is from RNAcentral.
UUGGUGCAUGUAAGGUGUUUGAUGAAAGUGUGAAUGAAGAAAUGAUGAGUGUAUGGAGCCUCUAUGCUCAGUAGGCCUUCCUACCAGGAAAGGAAGCUAGAGGAGAGUAAGAGAAUAAUGACACAAGGUCUGACCCAAAAGUAUAAGAAGCUUGAAUUAAAUUCAACAUUUCAUUAUACUUCAAAGGCGAGAAAUUACAUAGACAUGGC